CCGCGAGGAGAAGACGUGCCCGAAAAUCAGUGGCGGUCCAGGAAGRCUUCAAGCGCMGUAAAUUCAUCCGCUUUCGAGGUUYYGSCUGNGGCCCUGCCAUCUAAAMCCACGGGGCUCCGCCCCUACUUCAAUGAUUGACCUCGGAUCAGGCAGGGAUACCCGCUGAACUUAAGCAUAUCAAUAAGCGGAGGAAAAGAAACCAACAGGGAUUGCCCCAGUAACGGCGAGUGAAGCGGCAACAGCUCAAAUUUGAAAUCUGGCUCCUUCGGGGUCCGAGUUGUAAUUUGUAGAGGAUGUUUCGGACAACGCGCGGGUCUAAGUCUCUUGGAACGGGGCGUCAUAGAGGGUGAGAA
Molecule: ribosomal RNA, 353 nt
Filed under: Xanthoria ulophyllodes
Lineage: Eukaryota; Fungi; Ascomycota; Lecanoromycetes; Teloschistales; Teloschistaceae
Description: eukaryotic LSU rRNA
Source: RNAcentral